Molecule: ribosomal RNA, 482 nt
Filed under: uncultured bacterium
Lineage: Bacteria
Description: partial 16S ribosomal RNA
Rfam family: Bacterial small subunit ribosomal RNA
Source: RNAcentral
AGUGAACGUUGGCGGCGUGGAUUAGGCUUGCAAGUCGAGCGAGAACCGUAGCAAUACGGGGACAGCGGCGAAAGGGACAGUAAUGUGUAGGUACCUACCCCCGGGUUCGGGAUAGCUGCGGGAAACUGCAGGUAAUACCGAAUAAUGUCUCCGGACCAAAGAUGUGAUUCCACCUGGGGAGGGGCCUGCAUCCUAUUAGCUUGUUGGUGGGGUAACGGCCUACCAAGGCGACGAUGGGUAGCGGGUGUGAGAGCAUGACCCGCGUCAUUGGGACUGAGACACUGCCCAGACACCUACGGGUGGCUGCAGUCGAGAAUCUUCGGCAAUGGGCGCAAGCCUGUCCGAGCGACGCCGCGUGCGGGAUGAAGGCCUUCGGGUUGUAAACCGCUGUCGUAGAGGAGGAAAUGCAGGGGGGUUCUCCCCUUUGCUUGACCUAUUCUAGGAGGAAGUACGGGCUAAGUUCGUGCCAGCCGCCGCCGUAA